This 253-nucleotide ribosomal RNA is filed under the name uncultured bacterium. Its description in RNAcentral is "partial 16S ribosomal RNA". It matches the Rfam family "Bacterial small subunit ribosomal RNA", at positions 524 to 776 of the family's 1533-position model. The record is from RNAcentral.
GACGAACCGAGCGAACGUUGUUCGGAAUCACUGGGCUUAAAGGGCGCGUAGGCGGGUGCUCAAGUCCGGGGGGAAAUCCUCCAGCUCAACUGGAGAACUGCCUCGGAUACUGGGUGCCUCGAGUGUGGUAGGGGUGUGCGGAACUAUCGGUGGAGCGGUGAAAUGCGUUGAUAUCGAUAGGAACUCCGGUGGCGAAGGCGGCACACUGGACCACAACUGACGCUGAGGCGCGAAAGCCAGGGGAGCAAACGGG